This 765-nucleotide ribosomal RNA is filed under the name uncultured Streptococcus sp. RNAcentral describes it as "bacterial SSU rRNA". It matches the Rfam family "Bacterial small subunit ribosomal RNA", at positions 28 to 776 of the family's 1533-position model. Lineage: Bacteria; Bacillati; Bacillota; Bacilli; Lactobacillales; Streptococcaceae. The record is from RNAcentral.
GACGAACGCUGGCGGCGUGCCUAAUACAUGCAAGUAGAACGCUGAAGCUUGGUGCUUGCACCGAGCGGAUGAGUUGCGAACGGGUGAGUAACGCGUAGGUAACCUGCCUGGUAGCGGGGGAUAACUAUUGGAAACGAUAGCUAAUACCGCAUAAAAUGGAUUAUCGCAUGAUAAUCCAUUGAAAGGUGCAAAUGCAUCACUACCAGAUGGACCUGCGUUGUAUUAGCUAGUUGGUGGGGUAACGGCUCACCAAGGCGACGAUACAUAGCCGACCUGAGAGGGUGAUCGGCCACACUGGGACUGAGACACGGCCCAGACUCCUACGGGAGGCAGCAGUAGGGAAUCUUCGGCAAUGGACGGAAGUCUGACCGAGCAACGCCGCGUGAGUGAAGAAGGUUUUCGGAUCGUAAAGCUCUGUUGUAAGAGAAGAGCGAGUGUGAGAGUGGAAAGUUCACACUGUGACGGUAUCUUACCAGAAAGGGACGGCUAACUACGUGCCAGCAGCCGCGGUAAUACGUAGGUCCCGAGCGUUGUCCGGAUUUAUUGGGCGUAAAGCGAGCGCAGGCGGUUAGAUAAGUCUGAAGUUAAAGGCUGUGGCUUAACCAUAGUACGCUUUGGAAACUGUUUAACUUGAGUGCAAGAGGGGAGAGUGGAAUUCCAUGUGUAGCGGUGAAAUGCGUAGAUAUAUGGAGGAACACCGGUGGCGAAAGCGGCUCUCUGGCUUGUAACUGACGCUGAGGCUCGAAAGCGUGGGGAGCAAACAGG